Molecule: unclassified non-coding RNA, 382 nt
Filed under: uncultured Actinomycetes bacterium
Lineage: Bacteria; Bacillati; Actinomycetota; Actinomycetes
Description: uncultured actinobacterium contains 16S-23S intergenic spacer region
Source: RNAcentral
UCCGGUUUGACACCGGCAGUCUCCCACGAGUCCCACCACCCCGAAGGGCGUGCUGGCAACUAGGGACAGGGGUUGCGCUCGUUGCGCCACUUAAGGCAACACCUCACGGCACGAGCUGACGACAGCCAUGCACCACCUGUGCGGGCUCCGUAGAGCGCCGUGUUUCCACGGCUUCACCCCGCAUGCCAAGCCCAGGUAAGGUUCUUCGCGUUGCAUCGAAUUAAGCCACAUGCUCCGCCGCUUGUGCGGGCCCCCGCCAAUUCCUUUGAGUUUUAGCCUUGCGGCCGUACUCCCCAGGCGGGGCGCUUAAUGCGUUAGCUUCGGCACGGACGGGGUCGAUCUCCGCCCACACCUAGCGCCCAACGUUUACGGCUAGGACUAC